Long non-coding RNA from Scatophagus argus, 1357 nucleotides. RefSeq lists it as uncharacterized. NCBI's taxonomy places the organism in Eukaryota, Metazoa, Chordata, Actinopteri, Scatophagidae. The transcript has 3 exons. The record is from RefSeq and is a predicted model, not a curated record.
AAGCCAAGUCUGUUUUGUCUCCGUGCAACUGGACGUGUUUACAUUCAACUUUUUCCUCUUUUUUGCUGGAAUGUUGCUACAUCACGGCGUGACAAAAUGAGCUCGUUACAACUUCUCCAAACUGCCCGGCUCCGAGUUUCUUCACCAUCGUAAUGGACUCUUUGGAAAUCUCCCAGGCGUCUUUAUCCCAGGGCUUCUGGGCUUUGGGCUUCACACAUGGACGGUCCAGUUUACGACACAGGCCAUCUGCUUUGUCUUGAAGGUAGGGUCUCUGACAUAGUGCGUUUGCUCAGUACGUACAGUCUGCUGGCCGAUCUUCCCCUCCACACCUCUGCUCAGACCUUCGCUCAAUGUGGACUUCAUGCAGCCCAUCCUGCCUGCAUGAGGAAGUGAGAAAAGGAAAGAGUGAACUGGGUGAACUGGACGGUUACACAUUUACUAUUUAAAGCUGGUGAAACAAAGACUUCACAUAUUUGGUAAUGAGCACCUGUUACUUUUCUGCUUUUGCAUGGAAAAAUAACUUUUUAAAAACUUUUCUGUUUUUUCCUCUGUUGCUGUUCUGGCUUGAGGCUGGCCUCCCCAGCCUCAAGCCAGAACAACACUGACACAAUAACAUUCGCAUGCAAGUGCAUACAAAUACAUAUGAGAAACCAAAUGACCUCAAAAUCUUUUAAGGCUUAAACUUCAGGGGAUGAUUCCUGUGUGACAAAUAAUGGUAUUUCACAGGGAGAUGGAAAGGGACCACAAAAGUAACGACCAAAGAGACCACAAACCUCGACAGUGAUGAGUAUGGUAUGAAAGUUUAAUGCAGUAUGGUGCGUAGCUCUGUGGUGGUCUGUAGCAGACUUUGACAAUGGCUUUUUUGUACCUUUUGUUUUGUCAGUCACCCUAGCAGCUUGAAUCUAGACGGCAGCUUGACAACAAGUUGAAUGGAGAGAAGUAUGUGGGCGCUUUGAAUUCUUUUUUGUUGGCUUGUUUUUUUUUUGCAUGUGACACUUUGUACAUGAGGCUUUCAGCAGUGUGCAGUAAUUUAGAAAAGAAAUUAAAGCGGAAGACAUAAUAGUUUUUAACAUACAUCCCACUGUCACCUGCUGUGCAGUAGUUUUAGGGUAACACUCGCCCACACAUAUACUUUAUUACUGUAAAUGCUCAGUGUUGACUUUUCAACACUUAUUUAAGGUCUGCCUUUCUCUUCUUUCCUUAUUUUAUAAAAUACUUUGCUCUAUUUUGUUUGCUGAAGUCAGUUUCCAUGUUUGUUAAUGUUUAAACUAACCACAAUACUGCCACAACAGUAGAAUAAUUACUUCUUGCAGUUCUACUGGUUGUGAUAGUUUACUUUUUAUUGCAUUAUAAUGUG